RNAcentral lists this ribosomal RNA (774 nucleotides) under uncultured fungus. RNAcentral's name for it is "eukaryotic LSU rRNA". It matches the Rfam family "Eukaryotic large subunit ribosomal RNA", at positions 30 to 821 of the family's 3401-position model. The record is from RNAcentral. Lineage: Eukaryota; Fungi.
GAACUUAAGCAUAUCAAUAAGCGGAGGAAAAGAAACCAACUGGGAUUGCCUCAGUAACGGCGAGUGAAGCGGCAUCAGCUCAGAUUUGAAAUCUGGUUCUUUCAGAGCCCGAGUUGUAAUCUGUAGAGGAGUCUUCGGGUUUGGAUCUGGCCUAAGUUUCUUGGAACAGAACGUCAUAGAGGGUGAGAGUCCCGUAUGAGGCCAGCUACCUAUUCCCAUGUGAAGCUUCUUCGACGAGUCGAGUUGUUUGGGAAUGCAGCUCAAAAUGGGUGGUAAAUUUCAUCUAAAGCUAAAUAUUGGCGGGAGACCGAUAGCGCACAAGUAGAGUGAUCGAAAGAUGAAAAGCACUUUGAAAAGAGAGUUAAAAAGUACGUGAAAUUGUUGAAAGGGAAACGCUUGCGAUUAGACUUGCGCUCAGGUGAUCAACCGGUGUUCUCACCGGUGCACUCUCCUGCUUGCAGGCCAGCAUCGGUUUGGGCGGUUGGAUAAAGGCCCUAGGAAUGUAGCUGCCCUCGGGCAGUGUUAUAGCCUAGGGUGUAAUGCAGCCAGCCUGGACCGAGGACCGCGCUUCGGCUAGGAUGCUGGCAUAAUGGUCGUAAGCGACCCGUCUUGAAACACGGACCAAGGAGUCUAACAUCUAUGCGAGUGUUUGGGUGGAAAACCCAAGCGCGUAAUGAAAGUGAACGUAGGUGAGAACCCCUAAGGGUGCAUCAUCGACCGAUCUUGAUGUCUUCGGAUGGAUUUGAGUAAGAGCAUAGCUGUUGGGACCCGAAA